CCGGCGGCCCCCUCCCUCCCUCGCCGGCUCUCCAGCUGGAGCCGCGAGCGAGUGCGGCGCGGCGGGCACGGGGAGAGCGCUGCGCCUUGGAGGGCUGCCCGCAACCACGUCGGGACCCACAACAAAGUUAAAACGCUGCGAUUCACGCACCUUACCGGCUUUCCUCUGCGUCUCCUCGGGCGCGGGAUGCAAAGUGGCACAGUGGCGGGCUGGGGGGCCCCCCGGGAGGAGACUGGAGAUGGGUUUGGUGGCUCGCCUUUUUCACUCUAAAACAAUCUGCCCUCCACUUCAAGGAGCGAUAAAAUGAAAUGGCAGGAGGGGAAGGAGGCAGGGAGAAGGAGACUAUCUCUAGAUCUUGAUGGAGCUCGCGUCUAUAAAUAUGCAUUCGUGUUUAGUCAAGUCCCCUUUGUCAACUUCUUCCCUGCGCUGGAACCUCACCCGCUGUCCUGGAAGCAUCACCUGGGCCCCUUGGCGCCCCCCACUCCCGUUUGCACGCGGGAAAGCCGGCGCGGAGGGCGCGCGUGGGGGUCUGCGGCUGUCCGCGGAACCUUCUGGGAGGCGAGCCGCCGUCCGCCCAGCGCCGAGGCUGGAGCGGCGAGUGGUUUGGUUUUUAAAGCGACCACUGCUCCCCCGAAGAGCCGCUCUGCGCCCGCGGGUCCCCGCCGACGGCACUCCGCACCCACCUACUCCUUGACCGGUGGGGAGGUGGGUGAGGGGGAGAAAAGUUUUGAGGCGCUCUCAUCUCUGCCUCUGGGGUGGUUGAAGUGGUUUGGUUUUGUGUGCCUAAAGCCCCAAAUCCCAAUGCCCAAGAACCGGAGAUUGAUGUUUAGAGGGGUCUCAACAAGGCUUGGCGGCUGGGCUUUGACUGCUAAGUCUGCGACCGUGGAGACGGCGCAGGAAGGCGAGAACAAGCCUCCCCGGAGUCUCAUACCCAUAGGAAGAAACUCCGAAGACGCGCCUCCACGGACUGAGCCGCGUCCCUCGGCACCCCCAGCAUUUCCCAGAGAGCAACACCACCACCCGGAGAUCAAUGACCAGCCUGUUUAUUCUUCACGCGCCUGGAAGGGCAGGGCACCGAAGGAGCAAGGGAGGGAGGCUUGGGGCUCGCCUGUGCGCGAUCUCUCGCAGACUUUUUUUCUAGCUGGUUUCUAAACGGCAGCGAACAAGCAAAGAGUGUUCCUUAAUGCACGCAACACAUACCAAUCACAAUAUAUUAGCCUAAAAAAGUGAGACAUCCUCUCUCCCCCCUUCCACCCUUUGUAGAUUUGUCUCUGGAGGUGGGUUGCUAAUACCUGAGAUUUUUGCACUUGUCUAGGGCGGGAACUUUCUGGGGUGUUUGACAAUUGAUUAUUUGGUACCUGCUUUCUAAAAAUGGCUAAACACCUUUCCUUAGAACUAAAAGUGAGAAAUGCAAAUCUUAAUAACUCAAGGCAAAAAUUGCCAAGUGUAAGCAAGGUUAUAAUCCACUCCCACAAAGAAAAACUUCCUCUUCCACAAAUAUUUGAUAGCAUAGAGCCCAGUAAUUAAGAGAACAAUCAAAUAAACUCAAGGCUUUCAUGGGGACUCUAAAUUAUCAUCUGCCUAGAAUUUUUAAGCAGUGUUAAUCACUUGCCAACUUGAAUAGAGCUAGAGCUAUAUAGCAUUCUAAAUGUGUAUCCUUAACAAUUUUACUAUGUUUUCUUAACUAUUUAAUGAGAGAGACCACGGAUAAUAAUAAUAUUCAAAUUGCUGGAUCAAUGUGGUCUCACCAACUGUGUGAAAAAAUUCUCUGCCUGUGUGUAUAAAACAUCUUGCUGUAUGUUCUCCUCACAUUGACUGUAUCACACAGGCUUCAGGUCUUGAAGCACUUGCUUAGUAAGAAUAUAAGAAUUCCUAAGAAUGCACCAAUAAUUGCACUGUGCACCUGGAAUUUAAGUGUAAUUUUAUUCCAAAGAGUUCUUGGCAUUUAUUAAAUGAUUUAUUCUCAUAGUACAUAUGUAGUUGGUUUUCACAGUUAGCUUUCACUACUGGGGUCCUUAUAUAACCUGCAAGAAGCAGAUCAGGCCAACUGCACACACACACAAAAAAACAAGCUCCUCCCCUCACUACCCAUUAUAUGAAAAUAAGUAACAUUUGACAGGGGGCUGUUGUUUACAGUGAACUUUUACUUCCUCUUGGCCCAUACUCAGUGUAAACAAAGGGACAGAGUGAGUUCUUUUCCCCUAGCUCUCUAUCCAGUGAGUAACAAGUGUGCCUGUCUGGCCUAACCCAACCAAGCAGAACAGAGCCGCCUUCUCAGGGUUUCAGUGUAGCAGCUCCUGGGACCCUUGGGUUUCCUACUUGAAGGAGAUGAGAGCCUUGGGCAGAAGGAAGAAGGCGCUCUCAAGCUGCCUGGUGAGAUAUUGGUGAAACUUGAAUUACACCAACCUCUUCUUUUCUUUUCUUUUCUUUUUUUUGCUCCUGCAGGCAACAGAACUUCCAACCAUUUAUGGUUAUUGAAACCACAUGGCCUUAAGAC
This is a long non-coding RNA of Bos taurus (domestic cattle), 2497 nucleotides long. The record is from Ensembl. Lineage: Eukaryota; Metazoa; Chordata; Mammalia; Artiodactyla; Bovidae.